AGCGUACACGGUGGAUGCCCUGGCAGUCAGAGGCGAUGAAGGACGUGCUAAUCUGCGAUAAGCGUCGGUAAGGUGAUAUGAACCGUUAUAACCGGCGAUUUCCGAAUGGGGAAACCCAGUGUGUUUCGACACACUAUCAUUAACUGAAUCCAUAGGUUAAUGAGGCGAACCGGGGGAACUGAAACAUCUAAGUACCCCGAGGAAAAGAAAUCAACCGAGAUUCCCCCAGUAGCGGCGAGCGAACGGGGAGCAGCCCAGAGUCUGAAUCAGUGUGUGUGUUAGUGGAAGCGUCUGGAAAGGCGCGCGAUACAGGGUGACAGCCCCGUACACAAAAAUGCACAUACUGUGAGCUCGAUGAGUAGGGCGGGACACGUGGUAUCCUGUCUGAAUAUGGGGGGACCAUCCUCCAAGGCUAAAUACUCCUGACUGACCGAUAGUGAACCAGUACCGUGAGGGAAAGGCGAAAAGAACCCCGGCGAGGGGAGUGAAAAAGAACCUGAAACCGUGUACGUACAAGCAGUGGGAGCCUCUUUUAUGGGGUGACUGCGUACCUUUUGUAUAAUGGGUCAGCGACUUAUAUUCUGUAGCAAGGUUAACCGAAUAGGGGAGCCGAAGGGAAACCGAGUCUUAACUGGGCGUUAAGUUGCAGGGUAUAGACCCGAAACCCGGUGAUCUAGCCAUGGGCAGGUUGAAGGUUGGGUAACACUAACUGGAGGACCGAACCGACUAAUGUUGAAAAAUUAGCGGAUGACUUGUGGCUGGGGGUGAAAGGCCAAUCAAACCGGGAGAUAGCUGGUUCUCCCCGAAAGCUAUUUAGGUAGCGCCUCGUGAAUUCAUCUCCGGGGGUAGAGCACUGUUUCGGCAAGGGGGUCAUCCCGACUUACCAACCCGAUGCAAACUGCGAAUACCGGAGAAUGUUAUCACGGGAGACACACGGCGGGUGCUAACGUCCGUCGUGAAGAGGGAAACAACCCAGACCGCCAGCUAAGGUCCCAAAGUCAUGGUUAAGUGGGAAACGAUGUGGGAAGGCCCAGACAGCCAGGAUGUUGGCUUAGAAGCAGCCAUCAUUUAAAGAAAGCGUAAUAGCUCACUGGUCGAGUCGGCCUGCGCGGAAGAUGUAACGGGGCUAAACCAUGCACCGAAGCUGCGGCAGCGACGCUUAUGCGUUGUUGGGUAGGGGAGCGUUCUGUAAGCCUGUGAAGGUGUGCUGUGAGGCAUGCUGGAGGUAUCAGAAGUGCGAAUGCUGACAUAAGUAACGAUAAAGCGGGUGAAAAGCCCGCUCGCCGGAAGACCAAGGGUUCCUGUCCAACGUUAAUCGGGGCAGGGUGAGUCGACCCCUAAGGCGAGGCCGAAAGGCGUAGUCGAUGGGAAACAGGUUAAUAUUCCUGUACUUGGUGUUACUGCGAAGGGGGGACGGAGAAGGCUAUGUUGGCCGGGCGACGGUUGUCCCGGUUUAAGCGUGUAGGCUGGUUUUCCAGGCAAAUCCGGAAAAUCAAGGCUGAGGCGUGAUGACGAGGCACUACGGUGCUGAAGCAACAAAUGCCCUGCUUCCAGGAAAAGCCUCUAAGCAUCAGGUAACAUCAAAUCGUACCCCAAACCGACACAGGUGGUCAGGUAGAGAAUACCAAGGCGCUUGAGAGAACUCGGGUGAAGGAACUAGGCAAAAUGGUGCCGUAACUUCGGGAGAAGGCACGCUGAUAUGUAGGUGAAGUCCCUCGCGGAUGGAGCUGAAAUCAGUCGAAGAUACCAGCUGGCUGCAACUGUUUAUUAAAAACACAGCACUGUGCAAACACGAAAGUGGACGUAUACGGUGUGACGCCUGCCCGGUGCCGGAAGGUUAAUUGAUGGGGUCAGCGCAAGCGAAGCUCUUGAUCGAAGCCCCGGUAAACGGCGGCCGUAACUAUAACGGUCCUAAGGUAGCGAAAUUCCUUGUCGGGUAAGUUCCGACCUGCACGAAUGGCGUAAUGAUGGCCAGGCUGUCUCCACCCGAGACUCAGUGAAAUUGAACUCGCUGUGAAGAUGCAGUGUACCCGCGGCAAGACGGAAAGACCCCGUGAACCUUUACUAUAGCUUGACACUGAACAUUGAGCCUUGAUGUGUAGGAUAGGUGGGAGGCUUUGAAGUGUGGACGCCAGUCUGCAUGGAGCCGACCUUGAAAUACCACCCUUUAAUGUUUGAUGUUCUAACGUUGACCCGUAAUCCGGGUUGCGGACAGUGUCUGGUGGGUAGUUUGACUGGGGCGGUCUCCUCCUAAAGAGUAACGGAGGAGCACGAAGGUUGGCUAAUCCUGGUCGGACAUCAGGAGGUUAGUGCAAUGGCAUAAGCCAGCUUGACUGCGAGCGUGACGGCGCGAGCAGGUGCGAAAGCAGGUCAUAGUGAUCCGGUGGUUCUGAAUGGAAGGGCCAUCGCUCAACGGAUAAAAGGUACUCCGGGGAUAACAGGCUGAUACCGCCCAAGAGUUCAUAUCGACGGCGGUGUUUGGCACCUCGAUGUCGGCUCAUCACAUCCUGGGGCUGAAGUAGGUCCCAAGGGUAUGGCUGUUCGCCAUUUAAAGUGGUACGCGAGCUGGGUUUAGAACGUCGUGAGACAGUUCGGUCCCUAUCUGCCGUGGGCGCUGGAGAACUGAGGGGGGCUGCUCCUAGUACGAGAGGACCGGAGUGGACGCAUCACUGGUGUUCGGGUUGUCAUGCCAAUGGCACUGCCCGGUAGCUAAAUGCGGAAGAGAUAAGUGCUGAAAGCAUCUAAGCACGAAACUUGCCCCGAGAUGAGUUCU
Molecule: ribosomal RNA, 2773 nt
Filed under: Escherichia coli
Lineage: Bacteria; Pseudomonadati; Pseudomonadota; Gammaproteobacteria; Enterobacterales; Enterobacteriaceae
Description: bacterial LSU rRNA
Rfam family: Bacterial large subunit ribosomal RNA
Source: RNAcentral